AGUGAUCAAUAAAAAUUAGAUUCACAAUUUAAUAUAUUUUGUAAGUGGUACCUGGAAAAGCAAAACUUAAAAAAAAAUAGUAUUCUCAAUCUUUGCUGCUUCUACUUCAUUUCCAUAGGCAUUAAGAAAUUCAUUUUAGCCAGCUGCAGUGGCUCGUGCCUAUAAUCCCAGCACUUUGGCAGGCUGAGGUGGGAGGAUUACUUGAACUCAGGAGUUUGAGGCUAUCCUGGGCAACAUAAUAAGACCCUAUCUCAAAAAUAAAUAAAUAAAAUAAAUUAGCUAGGCAUGUUGGCAUAUGCCUGUAGUCACAGAUACUUGGGAGGCUGAGGUGGGAGGAUUGCUUGAGCCAGAAGGUCGAGGCUAUGGUGAGUUGUGAUCAUGCCACAGCACUCCAGCCUGGGCAACAGAGCAAGACCCUGUCUCAAGAAAAAGAAAAGAAAUUCAUUUCAGUGUCUCUUCAGUUGAUUUUUUGCUUAGCACACU
RNAcentral lists this long non-coding RNA (483 nucleotides) under Homo sapiens (human). Its description in RNAcentral is "non-protein coding lnc-SCAPER-4:1". The record is from RNAcentral. Lineage: Eukaryota; Metazoa; Chordata; Mammalia; Primates; Hominidae.